This 397-nucleotide ribosomal RNA is filed under the name uncultured bacterium. RNAcentral's name for it is "bacterial SSU rRNA". It matches the Rfam family "Bacterial small subunit ribosomal RNA", at positions 135 to 507 of the family's 1533-position model. The record is from RNAcentral.
AGUCUGGAACAACUAGAGGAAACUCUAGCUAAUGCCGGAUGAGACCACGAUCCCUUCGGGGGUUGCCGGCCAAAGAUGGCCUCUACUUGUAAGCUAUCGCUGAGGAUGGGCCUGCGGGCCAUUAGCUUGUUGGUGAGGUAACGGCUCACCAAGGCUGUGAUGGCUAGCUGGUCUGAGAGGAUGACCAGCCACACUGGGACUGAGACACGGCCCAGACUCCUACGGGAGGCAGCCAGUGGGGAAUAUUGCGCAAUGGGCGAAAGCCUGACGCAGCGACGCCGCGUGGGUGAUGAAGGCCUUCGGGUCGUAAAGCCCUGUCGCAGGGGAAGAAUAAGCAUCGGUAUAAUACGCCGGUGCCCUGACGGUACCCUGCAAGAAAGCACCGGCUAACUCCGUG